AUUGAACGCUGGCGGCAGGCCUAACACAUGCAAGUCGAACGGCUGCAGAGAACUUGCUUCCUGUUUCAGCGGCGGACGGGCGAGUAAUGCCUAGAAAUCUGCGUGGCUACGUUUUAGUACGUGCGAACACGGGCGCACUUACCGCAAUCCCCCAUAGGAACUAAGUGGGGGAGCUUCGGAUCUUCCGCUCUUAGACGAUCCUAUGUCGGAUUAGCUAGUUGGCGGGGUAAAGGCCUACCAAGGCGACGAUCCGUAACUGGUCUGAGAGGAUGAUCAGCCACACUGGAACUGAGACACGGUCCAGACUCCUACGGGAGGCAGCAGUGGGGAAUAUUGGACAAUGGGCGCAAGCCUGAUCCAGCCAUACCGCGUGUGUGAAGAAGGCCUUCGGGUUGUAAAGCACUUUUGGUUGGAAAGAAAAGCAGCAGGUUAAUACCCCGCUGUUCUGACGGUACCCAAAGAAUAAGCACCGGCUAACUUCGUG
RNAcentral lists this ribosomal RNA (484 nucleotides) under uncultured bacterium. RNAcentral describes it as "partial 16S ribosomal RNA". It matches the Rfam family "Bacterial small subunit ribosomal RNA", at positions 30 to 507 of the family's 1533-position model. The record is from RNAcentral.